AUGGACCAUGGAUGUUUAAAGAGAACAUGGACCCAAGAAACUGAACAACAAUUAGGAUAAACAGUUUUGCCAUAUUACAUUUUGCACGGCCCAUAGCCUGGAAAAGUCGGCAAGCAGCUACCAGUCUUCGUUUUCAAGCGAAAGAAAGGCUGAGACCCCUGCUGUUCUUUUGGUCCGGGAGAGAUUUGUGUCGAGUGUGAGGCCCUAACCUGAGGAGACAGAGUGCAACGAGUCAUGUGCUUGUCUUGGGAUGAGUGUUUGUACUGGGCAGGAGGGGGGAAACA
Trematomus bernacchii (emerald rockcod) is the source of this 284-nucleotide long non-coding RNA. RefSeq lists it as uncharacterized. NCBI's taxonomy places the organism in Eukaryota, Metazoa, Chordata, Actinopteri, Perciformes, Nototheniidae. The transcript is spliced from 3 exons. The record is from RefSeq and is a predicted model, not a curated record.